CGCCGCCACAUCGCCACCCCCGCCAACGGUCGCCGCGCGUGCACGAGAACGGCGCUCCCUCUCCAAGGUUAAAGUUGGCAAGAAGGAAAAGGUUCCUGUUCUCCAGCUGACAUGGAGAGAAACCGGAUGGGCCACCGUACCCAGCAGUUUUGUGAACCGACUUCUUUUAAGUGAGAUCUAAUAAAAGCUCCACACCGUAUCCAACGGUCUCAAUUCAUCAAGGACGGUGAGGGACAUAACAACUGCUAGGUUCCACACGAGAUUGCAGGGCAGGAGACCCCAACACCAAUUCUUUUCAUUUCAUUAGGGGGAAGAAAGAUGGAAAUUCCAAGAUGGCUCAAAGGGACACAGAAACGGGCUUCAGUGGCUAAUUUUGAGGGAAUUACAAACCCAUCUCAGUGCACAGCAAGGGAGAAGGGGACAAUAUCAAGUGAACUUGAGGCUUGGUUUACUGCGGGCAGACUGCUGGGGUGACCAGUAAUCAGCACCAGAAUAAGAAAUCCAGGAGCUCAGGGCAGCCUCCUGCAUGUCUGUCUUCACGGCCACCAUACUCAAUUACUGUUCCUCUCCAUUCUUUGGAAUUCACAGGACUUACUCCACUGUGCACCCCCCACCCCCUACUUUGCAGCUCCACAGGUCUUACAAGAAAUUUCUCACCACCUGCAUAAAAAGAAAAAUAAUUCAGCCUCUUGACAUAACCCUUCUGAGCAAACAGGGUCUUUUCUUUUUUUUUUUU
Panthera uncia (snow leopard) is the source of this 736-nucleotide long non-coding RNA. RefSeq lists it as uncharacterized. Lineage: Eukaryota; Metazoa; Chordata; Mammalia; Carnivora; Felidae. The record is from RefSeq and is a predicted model, not a curated record. The transcript has 2 exons.